This 77-nucleotide transfer RNA is filed under the name Acidobacteriota bacterium. Its description in RNAcentral is "tRNA-Val". It matches the Rfam family "tRNA". Rfam says of the family: Transfer RNA (tRNA) molecules are approximately 80 nucleotides in length. Their secondary structure includes four short double-helical elements and three loops (D, anti-codon, and T loops). Further hydrogen bonds mediate the characteristic L-shaped molecular structure. tRNAs have two regions of fundamental functional importance: the anti-codon, which is responsible for specific mRNA codon recognition, and the 3' end, to which the tRNAs corresponding amino acid is attached (by aminoacyl-tRNA synthetases). tRNAs cope with the degeneracy of the genetic code in two manners: having more than one tRNA (with a specific anti-codon) for a particular amino acid; and 'wobble' base-pairing, i.e. permitting non-standard base-pairing at the 3rd anti-codon position. RNAcentral also lists the same sequence under 2 other names. The record is from RNAcentral. Lineage: Bacteria; Pseudomonadati; Acidobacteriota.
GGGCGCUUAGCUCAGCCGGUUAGAGCGCCUGCCUUACAAGCAGGAGGUCCGCGGUUCGAGCCCGCGAGCGCCCACCA